CCUACGGGUGGCAGCAGUGAGGAAUAUUGGUCAAUGGACGAGAGUCUGAACCAGCCAAGUAGCGUGAAGGAUGACUGCCCUAUGGGUUGUAAACUUCUUUUAUAUGGGAAUAAAAUGUUCCACGUGUGGGAUUUUGUAUGUACCAUAUGAAUAAGGAUCGGCUAACUCCGUGCCAGCAGCCGCGGUAAUACGGAGGAUCCGAGCGUUAUCCGGAUUUAUUGGGUUUAAAGGGAGCGUAGGUGGAUUGUUAAGUCAGUUGUGAAAGUUUGCGGCUCAACCGUAAAAUUGCAGUUGAAACUGGCAGUCUUGAGGACAGUAGAGGUGGGCGGAAUUCGUGGUGUAGCGGUGAAAUGCGUAGAUAUCACGAAGAACUCCGAUUGCGAAGGCAGUUCACUGGACUGCAACUGACACUGAGGCUCGAAAGUGUGGGUAUCAAACAGGAUUAGAUACCCUAGUAGUC
This 460-nucleotide ribosomal RNA is filed under the name uncultured bacterium. Its description in RNAcentral is "partial 16S ribosomal RNA". It matches the Rfam family "Bacterial small subunit ribosomal RNA", at positions 338 to 795 of the family's 1533-position model. The record is from RNAcentral.